GGGAAAGGAGGGGGGGUGGGGGCCGGGGAAAGCGAGCGGACUGGCCACAGUUAUUUGUGUCUUUGCCUCUGAGUUUUAGAUCAUACUAAGGAUGUUGGACUUCAUCCUGUGGUGUUACUGGAACCAUAAAGACUCUGGAAACAAAGACUCAUGGCAUGGUCAGAUCUGCACUUAGGAGCAGAGUGGAGGAAGGAUUUAUGGCUGCAAAAACAGUAGGAAGGUCAGCUUGAAAAAUACUGAAGGACCCUCUCAGUUGAAAGAUGGCAAGGCACUGGCAUGGGGGGAAAGAACAGAUUCAAAAUAUAGAAAAUAAGAUCGACAGGACUUGAUUGAUUGGCUGAGGGGUUGAGAGGAGAGAAUGAGGGUUUAGGGUGACUCUCAGGCUCCUAGCUUGGGUGACUGAGUAUGUGGAAUGGAGUGUUCCUUCUCAAAACUCUGGAAUAGCCUUCAUCAAAUAUUCGUGGCCUGCAAAUCCUUUAUCCACAAUUCCUAAAUUUAAAAAAAUUAUGAAAACCAAAAGCUUGACCGGGUACUGUGGUUUAUGCCCUUAAUCUCAGCACUUUGGGAGGCUGAGGUGGGUGGAUCACCUGAGGUCAGGAGUCCAAGACAAGCCGGCCAACAUAGCGAAACCCCGUCUCUACUAAAAAUACAAAAAUUACCUGGGCGUGGUGGCGCAUGCCUGUAAUCCCAGCUACUCGGGAGGUGGAGGCACGAGAAUCGCUUGAACCUGGGAAGCAGAAGUUGCAGUGAGCCGAGAUCGCGCCAUCGCACUCCAGCCUGG
Molecule: long non-coding RNA, 781 nt
Filed under: Homo sapiens (human)
Lineage: Eukaryota; Metazoa; Chordata; Mammalia; Primates; Hominidae
Description: non-protein coding lnc-STAT6-1:1
Source: RNAcentral